This 104-nucleotide small nuclear RNA is filed under the name Myotis brandtii (Brandt's bat). Lineage: Eukaryota; Metazoa; Chordata; Mammalia; Chiroptera; Vespertilionidae. The record is from RNAcentral.
GUGCUCCCUUCAGCAGCAUAUAUACUAAAAUUGGAAUGAUACAGAGAUUAGCAUGGUUCCUGCACAAGGAUGACACCCAAAUUUGUGAAGCGUUCCAUAUACUC